AACCCCUAUUGUUAGUUUGCCAUCAUUCAGUUUGGGCACUCUAGCGAGACUGCCGGUAAUAAACCGGAGGAAGUGGGGAUGACGUCAAAUCAUCAUGCCCCUUAUGACCUGGGCUACACACGUGCUACAAUGGUUGGUACAACGAGUUGCGAGUCGGUGACGGCGAGCUAAUCUCUUAAAGCCAAUCUCAGUUCGGAUUGUAGGCUGCAACUCGCCUACAUGAAGUCGGAAUCGCUAGUAAUCGCGGAUCAGCACGCCGCGGUCGAAUACGUUCCCGGGCCUU
RNAcentral lists this ribosomal RNA (283 nucleotides) under uncultured Streptococcus sp. RNAcentral's name for it is "partial 16S ribosomal RNA". It matches the Rfam family "Bacterial small subunit ribosomal RNA", at positions 1100 to 1382 of the family's 1533-position model. Lineage: Bacteria; Bacillati; Bacillota; Bacilli; Lactobacillales; Streptococcaceae. The record is from RNAcentral.